Molecule: long non-coding RNA, 209 nt
Filed under: Elaeis guineensis (African oil palm)
Lineage: Eukaryota; Viridiplantae; Streptophyta; Magnoliopsida; Arecales; Arecaceae
Description: long non-coding RNA (EGUI_LNC029567)
Source: RNAcentral
CUCGUUUAUUUUUUUUUUUUUUUUUUUUUUUUUUUUUUUUCUUGUUUUGGGCUUUGGAUCUGCUGGGUUUUGGGCUAUAACAAAGACAGGGAAUAAGAAUUUGUCAAACCCAGAAUACGAAGACAUGACCAUCCAAAGAGUAUAGAAAUUAAAACCUUUUGCAUCUUGCCCUUGGAUAUGAAUGACUAGGCCACGUUCUCCAGGCUAUC